CAGGGAAGUUCUGCUGGAAGUGGGCGGGGCGCCUGCGACAGCUCCCCUGUCCAGCGCGCUGCUGUUGCUGGAAUCGGGUUGAUUCGGGCAGCACUGCAGAGCCUAGCACACACACUGAAGCCCCGAGGACACCGCUCCGCCCUGGGGAAAUGAAAGUAAACAGAAAUCACAGCGGCUGGACUGUGCAGCUACAAAGAGCUGUUGAACUUUGAUCAGGAAGGAGGAAGCCGAGUGCCAGGUGCACACACUCUGAGAGCGCCCGUCCCUAGCCGGAUGCCAUCACACACAGGAGAGGAAGCCAGAGACUAAAGGGAUUAGAUGAUUUUGGGAUGAUCACGCGCCCUGUGCGAGAUUGAGCCCACACAGAACUUGGUACUUCACUUUGAGCGUGCAGCCCUCAUCGCCCGUCAAGGGGUUUCUCUAUUCUGGUUCUGCCGCAACAGCCACGCACAGCUCACGUUUUCACAGGUGUUUCCUCGUUUUUACGGGUUUGUGAGAAAUUUAAGCACUGCUCUCAAUGGUGUCCAUUGCAGUAGUUCACGGUUCAGUAAAAGGAUCCCAACUGCAGGUCCACGGCCUUCAGCGCUGCCCAGGAGCCACACUGAAGCGAGGGGCCCUGCUUGCUGGCCCAGCGUCUCUUCCCGCGGGAAACUACCCUUGCUGCUUAGAAGCAGUUGGCCAUUCGGGGUGAUCUGGCAACAUCUGGAGACAGUUUCGGUUGUCACACGAAGCAGGAAGAUGGGGAGGCCUCUGACAUGCAGUGGGUAGAGACCAGGGGUUCUGCUAAACACCCCACAGUGCACCAGGUGGCCCCACAGCCAAGAAUGAUCCGGCCGAGAGUCUCAGUGCUGCCAAGCAGGAGAAAGUCUGCUCCAGCCUCGUUCGCCCAGGGGCCUGAGCCCACCACAAGGGCAGGUGCCGGGUCCCAGGUCUGGACACCUGGGGUCCCCCUCCUCCAGCACUUUUGCCAUAGAUAUUGGGGAAUGCAUUCUCUACUCCUCUGAGAUCAAAAACUUGAGGCCACCGGAAAUGUGAUGCUGGAAGCCUGAGGAUGAAGAUCAGGAAGAACAAGCAAGGGAAAGAAGAGGGAGAGAGAUCCAAAGAGGUGGGUUGUCACUGAGAAGUUCUAUAUUUGAUUGACUUGUAAUAAAUGUGUGUGCUCAUGGGGCACGAUGCAAUGUUUCAGUUCACAUCUGCAGACUGAAUCAGGCUCUGCCUGUUGGGCUUCUGAUCGGGAUGAGCCUGUAAAUUCCACUUCUGUAGGAGCUUUGCUUAACCUAGCAUGAGUUGUGUUUCCAUGAUAUUUCAGCAUGAGUCUUGGCAGAUGCUGGUGAAUGAAUAUUAUUAUUACUGUAAGAAACCCUUAAAUACAUCCUAACAAUUUUUAAAGCAUAUCUUUCAUCAAUGUCUAUACUUGGCUACUAUUAAUAAUAAAUAGCAAUGCAGCCCAUUGAUCAAGAGUAAAAUCCCUUCCAUAUGUUUUUAAGCUAAGAUAGACCCAGAAUCGCCAAUUCAUUGUUAUUUUAGCUAAGAGAGUAGAGACAGAGAUAAGGUACUGAGGCUCCUAGAUGGAAUCAAAGACCCAGUACUUGGAAGAACUUGAGGAGUCAUGAACACUGACCGGAUCCCUGUUUCGGGGCUCAGAAUCAAGGCAAUCAAUGAGAGGCCACUCUGUGUCCCACUGGAGACUUGGCUGGGGCUUUGAAUCCUGUUGAGCCUUAGAAGCCCCUCUUCCAGGCCACACUGCAAGUUAUCCCCACUAAGGGUGAGGCAGCAUCUCCAACUCUAUGGAUCUGUGGGAGGGACCUCAGGCACAACAGCACAGACCCUCUGAAUCAAGGAGGUGGGACUGGAGGAGGACACACUGAGGCAUUUUGAAUGCAGGUGGACAGGGUACCAAACAACGCUACGGAGAGAGCUUCAGAGGUCUGCUAAGGACCCCUUGGAGGCCUCAGCUGAGUACCCACCAGCACCUGCACUGGGAGAACCUUCCCAACGCUGAGCAAAGAACUGGAACCAGCCGUUUGUCCCAGUCAUGGUGGGUCACGUUGUCUUGGAUUAUUAUUGGAGCACACGCCGCCUGCCUGGAUGAACUCACAAUUUCAGGGGCAUUAGGCUGAGCACUCCAAAGGCUCAACAGAGGAGAAUAAUGAGCCCUCGAUUGGCCACUUCUCUGAUCCUACCCAACACAGCUUAAAAGGAAGACCCUAAGGGCAGGCAUUUGGUCUAGAACUUGCCCUAUCAGAGUGCCUGGGUUCAAGUCCCAGUUCUGCACCUGAUUCCUACUCACGUGUACCGUGGGAAGCAAGGGUGAUGAUUUACAUGCUUGGGUCCCUGUCAGUCAUGUGGCUGUGCUUCCCAGCUCCUCGCUUCAGGCUGGCCCCGUCCCAGACAUUGUGAGCACUUGGGGAGUGAACCAGCAGUUAGAAGACCUCUUUCUCUCUCUCUCUCUUUCAAAAUAUUUUACAAAAUAAAGACUCUAAAAGAAUCAAACUUAGUCAGUUGUCCUAAACGCUUCCCAGACAGAACAGCUUAAGAAUAUUGAUAGAAACCUAACAACCUGCAUCCAGUGAGCUAAAACACACAGGGGCUUCAAAAAGUUCAUGGAAUAAGAAAAAGUUCAUGGAUGAGAGGGAAAAAAAUCUGUGUAUGGAUUUCAAUUUUUUUUGCACCAAACUAAACUUAGGUCUUCAAUCCAUUUUUCCAUGAACAUGUUGAAGUCCCCUUGCAUGUGAGCAUUUGUGAAUCAGAACAGCAGACCUCAGAAUUAUGAGCAAUUGUGAACCAUUUAUCCUUUAAGACACACAUUUUGGGAUAGUUUGUUUAAAAGCUAGAAAAAAAAAAAAAAAGCCUUGGCUGGCGCCGCGGCUCACUAGGCUAAUCCUCCGCCUUGCGGCGCCGGCACCCUGGGUUCUAGUCCCAGUCAGGGCGCCGGAUUCUGUCCUGGUUGCCCCUCUUCCAGGCCAGCUCUCUGCUGUGGCCCAGGAGUGCAGUGGAGGAUGGCCCAAGUCCUUGGUCCCUGCACCCGCAUGGAAGACCAGGAGAAGCACCUGGCUCCUGCCUUUGGAUCAGUGCGAUGUGCCGGCUGCGGCAGCCAUUGGAGGGUGAACCAACGGCAAAAAGGAAGACCUUUCUCUCUCUCUCUCUCUCUCUCUCUCUAUCCACUCUGCCUGUCAAAAAAAAAAAAAAAAAAAAAAAAAAAGAA
Molecule: non-coding RNA, 3205 nt
Organism: Oryctolagus cuniculus (rabbit)
Lineage: Eukaryota; Metazoa; Chordata; Mammalia; Lagomorpha; Leporidae
Source: RefSeq, a predicted model, not a curated record